RNAcentral lists this long non-coding RNA (297 nucleotides) under Homo sapiens (human). Its description in RNAcentral is "non-protein coding lnc-THOC2-4:1". The record is from RNAcentral. Lineage: Eukaryota; Metazoa; Chordata; Mammalia; Primates; Hominidae.
UAAGUUGUUUAGACCUACUCUCUCUGACUCUUAUUUCCAAGGGAAGAAUUCCAAAAGGAGUGAGCAGCCAGGUGACAACACUCACAAUUCCCCAAGGUUUUUAAAAAAUAGUUAUCUGUAUCAGCUCUGAGAGAUGGGUUGAAUAAUUGAGUACAAUCAAGAUUAAAACAACAGUAAAUUUGCCUGAUCUGAGUCACCAAAGGGGGCAUGGAACCAACGCUUUUUAAUUGGGCAGAUUGAAUGUUACAGCCAUUUGGCUUGGUUGCUGUCAUACAGUAACCAGGGACUUGAGCCAAG